This is an RNA transcript of Malania oleifera, 2288 nucleotides long. It is a transcript of the gene named F-box protein CPR1, with no coding region annotated. The record is from RefSeq and is a predicted model, not a curated record. Lineage: Eukaryota; Viridiplantae; Streptophyta; Magnoliopsida; Santalales; Ximeniaceae. The transcript has 4 exons.
UUCUUUUUAUCAAAGUCACCUAUUUUUUUCUGGUCAAGUUUUGGAAGUACGAACCUGCCAUCAUAUAACCGUUCUGAGCGACGGAGCAACACGAAUUGCGGCCCCAUUUCGCUUCUGGAAUAAUCUAAAACCCUAAGCGUCGACCACCACAAAUGCGUCCCCCGGACCGUCUCCCGUGCGAGGUGAUAGUCGAUAUUCUCCUCCGAUUGCCUGCGAAGGUCCUCGCCCGAUAUCGAUCCGUGUCGAAAUUGUGGCGUUUCCUAAUCGACGAUCCAAAAUUCAUCGAACUCCACCUUAAGCACUCCGGCAAAAUCAGUUCCAAUCUCAGCCUCAUAAUUAAAAGCUGGUACCUGUACAUCGCUGACUUCGAUUCGCUGAGCGUCGCGACUGAGAUCAAACACCCGUUGAACGAAGUUAGGGGUGGAACGGAAGCUUUUGGAUCUUGCAAUGGCUUGAUCGGCGUUUGCAACUCCGAAAAGGACAUCGCCCUGUGGAAUCCAUCGACGGGGAUGUACCAGAAGUUGGCCGUCGCGGCGUAUGAGCUUCCCGGCGAUAUAGAGAUUUGCAGGUACACGUUUUACGGGUUUGGGCACGACCCCGUUAGCGAUGACUAUAAGGUAGUGAGAAUGAUACAGUUCGCUAGUGAAAAUGGUGAUUUAUUUUCAGCGCAAGUUAAGGUUUUCAGCUUAAAGAGUAAUAGUUGGAGGGAAAUCAAGGGGUUUCCUGAUUAUGUGCGUUAUAUGUUUCAACCUUAUUACUACUUAUUUUACAGAAGAGGGUACGGGACUUUUGCCGGCGGUGCUUUGCAUUGGGUGGCACCUGCUGUUCUUGAAUCGCCCAGUACCAACUUGAUUGUGGCGUUUGAUCUUAAGCUUGAGAGGUUUGGGUUAGUGCAACAGCCUGACCGUUCUAACGGCAUUUUUCAGUUGGAUGUGGGGGUUUUAGAUGGUUGUCUUUGUAUGUCAUGUAAUUACCAAAAUGAUUAUGUGGAUGUAUGGGUGAUGAAGGAAUAUGGGGUUAGGGACUCCUGGACUAACUUGUUUAAGAUUACUCAAACCGAUGUGAGAGGGUUUUCUGGUUUUGUGAUGCCUUUGGCUUAUGGUAAAAGUUGCGACAUGGUUCUCAUGGAAGUGGACGAUGGCAAGCUUGUUUGGUUUGAUAGGAAAAGGAGAAAAUCCAAAAAAGUUAGGAUCGAGGGGGCUCCGGGAACAUUUAGCGCUGAGGUUUAUGUGGGAAGUCUAAUUCCGCUCCCAGGCGGUGGAAUUGAUCGAAAGAAACAAGCAGCUGAGGAGAAAAACAAGAAUAAAAACGCCAGAAAGAAAAGGGAUGAUUUCCUGUCAGAAGGCUUUAAGUUGGUUUUAUAAGCUUGUAGAAGUCGGUGCAGAAUAGGAGCAAAGCCAAGGGAGACAUGGACUUCAACAGAUAUGAAUUUCUCAUGGGGGAAGCCAGAAAGCAAAGGGUGAGUAGGAGUAAGAAGAAGAGAAGGGAGAUCGAGGGGGAAUCUUCCCAAAGGGAUGCACCUGCUACAGGUAACUCUAGUAUCCAUCAAGAAGAGAUCAAUGCUGCUCCUCUUUCGAUCCCUCAGCCUCUUACUGAAGCGAUUUUUCACGAGCCGACCCGUUCUGCAUCUGCUCUCCGUCGGGCGGUGCACGCUGAGGACUUUGUGCAAGCCUAGUGUACUCUCCCUGACGCUCUCUCCGCGAAGAUCCGCCACACAUCAUACUAGCUGGCGACGAUGGCUUUAACGCAGGAGGAGAAGGUUGUUGAGAUGUAUCGGCAGACCCUCGAUGCCAGGGAGAAAUAUGUUGUUGCUCAGAACGAACUGCACGAGGCCGAGGUCCGUGAACGGGCUCUGCAAGUUGAGAUCGAGCGCCUUCGUAGGGAGGAAUUACCUGCCAGAGAAGCUGCUGCUGCUACUUCUGCUUCCCGAAUUGCAGUAAAGGAAUAUAAAGACUCCAACCAGUUCGUUAUUGAUACCUCCAAGGCUUACCGGGUGGGAUUCAGGAGGUGUCGGGACCAAGUCAGGACCAAACAUCCUGAGCUUCCUCUGGAUGGUGUGAGCUUUCAUGGUUAUGGCAACGAGAGUCUUGAGUCUGUGGAAGAUCUGGAGGAGGAUGAGGAAGGGGAGGAGGAGGAAGUUGGAGAGGGGAGUAAAGCCAACUAGUUUGUAGGAACCGAACUUGUAAUUUGAAUUUUGCAAACUUUAUUGAUGUAGUGCAACUCUAUUGUAAUGGAUACUUUUAUUAUAGCAUUGCAAGAAGCGGUUUUUAAGAAUAGUAUUUUUUUAA